Molecule: long non-coding RNA, 399 nt
Filed under: Volvox carteri
Lineage: Eukaryota; Viridiplantae; Chlorophyta; Chlorophyceae; Chlamydomonadales; Volvocaceae
Description: long non-coding RNA (VCAR_LNC000788)
Source: RNAcentral
AACGUGCGUGCGUAUCUGUAAGGAAUUCCAAUCAUUACACAACAUGACAGGCGUGCUCUCUCGCUCUCGCUCCCUCCCUCUGUUCAAGCCUCAAGGAGUGCAGCUUUCCAAACAUUGCGUCAUGAACAGCGCUAAUGCAAUGAUAAAAACUUGUUGUGAUUUGAGAGCCCAUCGGCUCCUCGGUGACGUUAUUAACUCAUCCAUCUUUGGCGCAGAGGGUGCAGAGUCCCGUAUGUCCACGGCCCAUGCAUGCAUAUCCGGCCUACCUGCCUGCCUGUACUUGUAUAUCUAUGCGACGUUGCAGAACGCACGCGCCAGCGUGCGGCGGCUGACUUGUUGGUGCAGAUAAAUCUUGGCUCUCCGUAUGCAUUACUCCUUGACAGGCCUAGAUGGUUCGGU